AAAAAAAGCAGAAAGAUAAAUCAGGACCAAAAAAGAAAACAAAAUACAUCAAAGCAACUAACGUAUUUGUAAGCAUGUCCUCCGUAACGACCUGUUGGCAGGUUUCUUGAACAAUAAUAAACUUAAUAACAAAAUUGGUGGUAACCUUACAUUACUCAUUAGCUUACCAUUUGAUGAUGAGAUAUUGAUUGAUGCACGUCCACAAGAGAACGAUUGACAAAAGCGUAUGAGAAACUCCACCUUUUAAAAAGUGUAAUAGUUAUAGCAGAAAAUGGAGUAAGAGAGGCCCCACUGUUGUUGCCACGUCUGUACCAGAAAGGGACUCCUGUGUCUUGGGCUACAAAUAUCUCAGAAAUGAUAUAAUGAUGGAAUGCUCACAUAUGUUCAUCAGUCUGGAGUCUGAAAACGAUUCUACUUUUUUAAAAGGUAAGAAACCCUGAAGGGUGAAAUUUGCCAGAUGUUUGACCUUUGAAAUGAAUGGUCCAGCUGAAUAUUCUUUUUCUGUACUUAUGGAGAGAAUGACUGGGAUUUCAUAAGAGGUUCCAUUUGGGAGUCUUGGCCCGCAUGUAAGAAGUUCAGGUACCCUGAGAUCACCACUCUGAAGAGAUCAGCUGCAGGUGCUCCAGUCGACAGUCUCAGCUGAGCCCAGCCUUCCAGUCUU
RNAcentral lists this long non-coding RNA (661 nucleotides) under Equus asinus (donkey). RNAcentral's name for it is "lncRNA (ENSEASG00005025764.1)". Lineage: Eukaryota; Metazoa; Chordata; Mammalia; Perissodactyla; Equidae. The record is from RNAcentral.